CGAUCAGCCACACUGGAACUGAGACACGGUCCAGACUCCUACGGGAGGCAGCAGUGGGGAAUAUUGCACAAUGGGCGCAAGCCUGAUGCAGCCAUGCCGCGUGUAUGAAGAAGGCCUUCGGGUUGUAAAGUACUUUCAAUGGUGAGGAAGGUUAUGUAUUUAAUAGAUGCAUAGCUUGACGUUAGCCACAGAAGAAGCACCGGCUAACUCCGUGCCAGCAGCCGCGGUAAUACGGAGGGUGCGAGCGUUAAUCGGAAUUACUGGGCGUAAAGCGCAUGCAGGUGGUCUGUUAAGUCAGAUGUGAAAGCCCGGGGCUUAACCUCGGAAUAGCAUUUGAAACUGUCAGACUAGAGUACUGUAGAGGGGGGUAGAAUUUCAGGUGUAGCGGUGAAAUGCGUAGAGAUCUGAAGGAAUACCGGUGGCGAAGGCGGCCCCCUGGACAGAUACUGACACUCAGAUGCGAAAGCGUGGGGAGCAAACAGGAUUAGAUACCCUGGUAGUCCACGCCGUAAACGAUGUCUACUUGGAGGUUGUGGCCUUGAGCCGUGGCUUUCGGAGCUAACGCGUUAAGUAGACCGCCUGGGGAGUACGGUCGCAAGAUUAAAACUCAAAUGAAUUGACGGGGGCCCGCACAAGCGGUGGAGCAUGUGGUUUAAUUCGAUGCAACGCGAAGAACCUUACCUACUCUUGACAUCUACAGAAGCUUGCGGAGACGCGAGUGUGCCUUCGGGAACUGUAAGACAGGUGCUGCAUGGCUGUCGUCAGCUCGUGUUGUGAAAUGUUGGGUUAAGUCCCGCAACGAGCGCAACCCUUAUCCUUGUUUGCCAGCACGUAAUGGUGGGAACUCCAGGGAGACUGCCGGUGGUAAACCGGAGGAAGGUGGGGACGACGUCAAGUCAUCAUGGCCCUUACGAGUAGGGCUACACACGUGCUACAAUGGCACAUACAGAGGGCAGCCAACUUGCAAAAGUGAGCGAAUCCCAAAAAGUGUGUCGUAGUCCGGAUCGGAGUCUGCAACUCGACUCCGUGAAGUCGGAAUCGCUAGUAAUCGUGGAUCAGAAUGCCACGGUGAAUACGUUCCCGGGCCUUGUACACACCGCCCGUCACACCAUGGGAGUGGGCUGCAAAAGAAGUAGGUAGUUUAACCUUCGGGGGGACGCCUACCACUUUGUGGUUCAUGACUGGGGUGAAGUCGAAACAAGGUA
RNAcentral lists this ribosomal RNA (1205 nucleotides) under metagenome. Its description in RNAcentral is "bacterial SSU rRNA". It matches the Rfam family "Bacterial small subunit ribosomal RNA", at positions 301 to 1498 of the family's 1533-position model. The record is from RNAcentral.